RNAcentral lists this unclassified non-coding RNA (194 nucleotides) under uncultured fungus. RNAcentral's name for it is "sequence contains ITS1, 5.8S rRNA gene". The record is from RNAcentral. RNAcentral also lists the same sequence under 1 other name. Lineage: Eukaryota; Fungi.
UAGAGUUUUCUAAACUCCCAACCCAUGUGAACUUACCAUUGUUGCCUCGGCAGAAGCUGCUCGGUGCACCCUACCUUGGAACGGCCUACCCUGUAGCGCCUUACCCUGGAACGGCUUACCCUGUAACGGCUGCCGGUGGACUACCAAACUCUUGUUAUUUUAUUGUAAUCUGAGCGUCUUAUUUUAAUAAGUCA